CGUAGUUUGUUAUAUUCACAAGGGGAGCAUGCACUUUUCAGGAUAGACCUAGCAUUUGCUGUGUGACUUAUCAACUACCGAUAAGCACUUGGACGUUCUUUUGGCUUUAGAACCGGUGGGCCUAUUGACUGUGCAGUAAACUCUUCAGUAUAAAGAAAACAACUGAUCAUACUUCACAAUGAAAGUUCUCUUCUGUGUAAGAAUGUAAUUCGGCGAAUGCAGUUUAACUUUGAGGCACGAAAAGGGGAUCUGAAUACAAACUUUUAAUCUCUAAUUGAAACCACAAAGCGAACGGAAGAAACUUUCCAAAAUGAAAAGACAACUAAAUCAAAUCCCUGAAAAUGAGGCACCAGCGGAAUAGAUCACAAAGCAAUCACUGCGAUGAAUGUACAACUUAAGUUGUAUUCUUUCAAAGUUCCAGAACGAAAAUGUGAGGAGUUUUUUUUGUGUAAAAAUGUCAUAAAGACAAACACAGAGCAUUCAGAAAAUGGUGUAAAAUGAGUUAAAACCCGAAAUCUUAGACAGUUGCGCCUUUGUAAAGUGAGACUGCGACUGCGACCAAGGGCAGCAAGACGGGGUUUUCGCUGACUAAAGUGUGGAGAUAUGUAAAUAUGUUCUGUUUAGCUGACUGAGUGCACCAUUUACAGACUAAUCCCAUGUAUUUAAACAAGUACAGACGAAUAUUUCUUAAGGUCAGUUGCGUUAAGUGCUUAAUAGAUAACUGAGCGAUAUUGAGGACUACGCACAGCUUGCAAGCUUUCACAUAACUAAUUUGGUGCGCACGUCAGAUUUCAUUGAAAGUUGCAGUUCCGAUUUCUGUAUAUGAUACCUUGUUGCACACAUACACUAUGCUUUAGAGAAAUAAAAUUUAUGCAUUGUAA
This is a long non-coding RNA of Chiloscyllium plagiosum (whitespotted bambooshark), 881 nucleotides long. RefSeq lists it as uncharacterized. Lineage: Eukaryota; Metazoa; Chordata; Chondrichthyes; Orectolobiformes; Hemiscylliidae. The record is from RefSeq and is a predicted model, not a curated record.